RNAcentral lists this long non-coding RNA (871 nucleotides) under Portunus trituberculatus (swimming crab). RNAcentral describes it as "uncharacterized LOC123517913, transcript variant X2". The record is from RNAcentral. Lineage: Eukaryota; Metazoa; Arthropoda; Malacostraca; Decapoda; Portunidae.
GAGGAGGAGGAGGAGGAAGAAGGAAGGUCAGACCACCACCACCACCACAAUAUUGACCUUUAACUCAUAAAGGUGGAGAGAGGUGGAGGUGAAACAGGAGAGAGACAGACAGACAGACAGACAGACAGACAGACAGACACACAAAACAGAAACAAACCCAAAAUCCUUCAAAUCUUACAACAAAACUUUAAAAAAAAAAAAUAAAAAUAAAAACACAACAAAAACGAAACAAUUUAAAACGCAGACGAAAAAAAAAUAUAUAAAAAACGAACGAAAAUAUAGAAAAAAAUAAACAUUUCCCACCUCUCUGGCAACACUGCUCGUCUCUGAUUGGUGGAAAGAGACGUAACUGUGCUCUGAUUGGCCAGCAUUGACGCCACUCUCUUCUCAUUGGCCAGUGGUGAUGUCAUUGAUUAACCUUCUCUCUUUGUUAUUGUUGUUGUUGCUGUGGUGGUGAUGGUGGUGGUAGUGGUGAUGGUGGUGGUGGUGGUGAGUUUUGCUGGAAAGUUCGCGAGUAGUGGGAAACGUUUACGAAAAUAAUGAAUAAAUAAACGUUCCCCAAAAAACGUUCUUAAUGAUGACCUUAGGAGCACGUGACCUUGGAAACACGUCUGAACACGCACCACGAGAGACUAGUGAGCAAGCGGUGAGUGUUAAGUGGGGCAUUUAAAUAACACGAGGCCUUGAUUGGCGUGAGAGUGGAAGAGUGUCAAGAGGAGGAAGAAGAGGAAGGAGUGGAUUAAGAGGUGGAAAAAAUUUUAUUGAUUUUUUUUGUGUGUUUGUGGAAGAGUAUCAAGAGGAGGAAGAGGACGAAGUGGAUUAAGAGGAAAAAUUAUUGGUUUUAUUUUGUGGAAGAGUGUCAAGAAGUGGA